RNAcentral lists this microRNA precursor (61 nucleotides) under Pristionchus pacificus. RNAcentral's name for it is "mir-8364 microRNA precursor family". It matches the Rfam family "mir-8364 microRNA precursor family". Lineage: Eukaryota; Metazoa; Nematoda; Chromadorea; Rhabditida; Neodiplogasteridae. The record is from Rfam by way of RNAcentral.
UCUUCAUUUCACGCGCUCUCUCGCCACUCUGACCAGUGAGAGAGCAGGUGAAAUGAAGAGA